RNAcentral lists this ribosomal RNA (497 nucleotides) under uncultured bacterium. Its description in RNAcentral is "partial 16S ribosomal RNA". It matches the Rfam family "Bacterial small subunit ribosomal RNA", at positions 28 to 507 of the family's 1533-position model. The record is from RNAcentral.
GAUGAACGCUGGCGGCGUGCCUAAUACAUGCAAGUCGAGCGAACGGACGAGAAGCUUGCUUCUCUGAUGUUAGCGGCGGACGGGUGAGUAACACGUGGAUAACCUACCUAUAAGACUGGGAUAACUGCGGGAAACCGGAGCUAAUACCGGAUAAUAUUUUGAACCGCAUUGUUCAAAAGUGAAAGACGGUCUUGCUGUCACUUAUAGAUGGAUCCGCGCUGCAUUAGCUAGUUGGUAAGGUAACGGCUUACCAAGGCAACGAUGCAUAGCCGACCUGAGAGGGUGAUCGGCCAAACUGGAACUGAGACACGGUCCAGACUCCUACGGGAGGCAGCAGUAGGGAAUCUUCCGCAAUGGGCGAAAGCCUGACGGAGCAACGCCGCGUGAGUGAUGAAGGUCUUCGGAUCGUAAAACUCUGUUAUUAGGGAAGAACAUAUGUGUAAGUAACUGUGCACAUCUUGACGGUACCUAAUCAGAAAGCCACGGCUAACUACGUG